GAGUUUGAUCGUGGCUCAGGAUGAACGCUGGCGGCGUGCUUAACACAUGCAAGUCGAGCGAAGCACUUAAGUUGAUUCUUCGGAUGAAGACUUUUGUGACUGAGCGGCGGACGGGUGAGUAACGCGUGGGUAACCUGCCUCAUACAGGGGGAUAACAGUUAGAAAUGACUGCUAAAUACCGCAUAAGACCACAGGGUCGCAUGACCCGGUGGUAAAAACUCCGGUGGUAUGAGAUGGACCCCGCGUCUGAUUA
Molecule: ribosomal RNA, 253 nt
Filed under: uncultured bacterium
Lineage: Bacteria
Description: partial 16S ribosomal RNA
Rfam family: Bacterial small subunit ribosomal RNA
Source: RNAcentral